UGGAGAACGGGGCCGAAUCAGACCGAAACCAGGGAGUUGUCACGGUCGAUCGGACCUGUUGGAGUGGUUGAACCGCCGGCCGUAGCGGGCCUGGGGUCUGUGGAUGGUAAGUGCAUUUAUUACCGAAUGAACCGGCGGUCAGGUAGAGCCAUACGCUCUGAUGGUUCAGUGAUCCGGAGAUCGUCUCGGGCCGUGUUCAUUAAAUGCCUGAG
Molecule: long non-coding RNA, 212 nt
Filed under: Phoenix dactylifera (date palm)
Lineage: Eukaryota; Viridiplantae; Streptophyta; Magnoliopsida; Arecales; Arecaceae
Description: long non-coding RNA (PDAC_LNC003241)
Source: RNAcentral